RNAcentral lists this ribosomal RNA (258 nucleotides) under uncultured bacterium. Its description in RNAcentral is "partial 16S ribosomal RNA". It matches the Rfam family "Bacterial small subunit ribosomal RNA", at positions 524 to 776 of the family's 1533-position model. The record is from RNAcentral.
UACGGAGGGUGCGAGCGUUGUCCGGAAGUCACUGGGCGUAAAGGGCGCGUAGGCGGCCUGGCAAGUCGGUGGUGAAAGCUCGGGGCUCAACUCCGAGGUCGGCCAUCGAUACUGCGAGGCUCGAGUCGACUAGAGGCAGAUGGAAUUCCGGGUGUAGCGGUGGAAUGCGUAGAGGAUCCGGAAGAACACCGGUGGCGAAGGCGGUCUGCUGGGGUCGAAGCUGACGCUGGAGGCGCGACAGCGUGGGGAGCAAACAGG